RNAcentral lists this ribosomal RNA (195 nucleotides) under Triticum aestivum (bread wheat). RNAcentral describes it as "partial small subunit ribosomal RNA". The record is from RNAcentral. Lineage: Eukaryota; Viridiplantae; Streptophyta; Magnoliopsida; Poales; Poaceae.
AUGAUUCUCGAAGAUGAGAGAGGCAUGAACUUGGAGUUCUUCUAUGACAAUGUGGGUAGCCGUGUGAAACCAGGUAGAGACUCUAAUCGUAUUAGAGCUUUUCUUCAGACCUACAAGGAGAUUGAAAAUGCAAACACCCACUUUCAGCUUCAGGAGGAUCUCAUUGAGCACCAUUGGCGAAGGGCUGGACAGUAA